UGGAUUAGGAAGUAUGCAGAUACUAAGAUAGGAAGGGUUGCGGGUAAUGAAGUAGAUUUUCAAAGUCUACAGAGAGAUUUAUGCCAGUUGGAAGAGUGGGCUGAAAGAUGGCAGAUGGAGUUUAAUGCUGAUA
Amblyraja radiata (thorny skate) is the source of this 133-nucleotide long non-coding RNA. RefSeq lists it as uncharacterized. The record is from RefSeq and is a predicted model, not a curated record. Lineage: Eukaryota; Metazoa; Chordata; Chondrichthyes; Rajiformes; Rajidae. The transcript is spliced from 3 exons.